CAUGCAAGUCGAACGGAAAUCUUUUAGAGAAAUCUUUUAGAUUUUAGUGGCGAACGGGUGAGUAACACGUAAGCAACCUGCCUUUAAGACGAGAAUAACAAUUGGAAACAGUUGCUAAGGCUGGAUAGGAAAUAAAAAGGCAUCUUUUUAUUUUUAAAAGACCUUCUUCGGAGGGUAUGCUUAAAGAGGGGCUUGCGUCACAUUAGUUAGUUGGUAGGGUAAUGGCCUACCAAGACGAUGAUGUGUAGCUGGACUGAGAGGUUGAACAGCCACAUUGGGACUGAGACACGGCCCAAACUCCUACGGGAGGCAGCAGUAGGGAAUUUUCGGCAAUGGAGGAAACUCUGACCGAGCAACGCCGCGUGAACGACGAAGUACUUCGGUAUGUAAAGUUCUUUUAUUGAAGAAGAAACAAUAGUGGAAAAACUAUCUUGACGUUAUUCAAUGAAUAAGCCCCGGCUAACUAUGUGCCAGCAGCCGCGGUAAUACAUAGGGGGCGAGCGUUAUCCGGAAUUAUUGGGCGUAAAGGGUGCGUAGGCGGUUUAAUAAGUCUCUAGUUUAAUUUCAACGCUUAACGUUGUUCUGCUAGAGAAACUGUUUGACUAGAGUGAGAUAGAGGUAAGCGGAAUUCCAUGUGUAGCGGUAAAAUGUGUAAAUAUAUGGAGGAACACCAGAGGCGUAGGCGGCUUACUGGGUCUUUACUGACGCUGAUGCACGAAAGCGUGGGGAGCAAACAGGAUUAGAUACCCUGGUAGUCCACGCCGUAAACUAUGAGUACUAAGUGUCGGGGUUAAACUCGGUACUGAAGUUAACACAUUAAGUACUCCGCCUGAGUAGUACGUACGCAAGUAUGAAACUUAAAGGAAUUGACGGGAUCCCGCACAAGCGGUGGAUCAUGUUGUUUAAUUCGAAGAUACACGAAAAACCUUACCAGGUCUUGACAUACUCUGCAAAACUAUAGAAAUAUAGUGGAGGUUAUCAGGGAUACAGGUGGUGCAUGGUUGUCGUCAGCUCGUGUCGUGAGAUGUUAGGUUAAGUUCUAAAACGAGCGCAACCCCUGUCGUUAAUUGCCAGCACGUUAUGGUGGGGACUUUAGCGAGACUGCCAAUGAAAAAUUGGAGGAAGGUGGGGAUUACGUCAAAUCAUCAUGCCCCUUAUGAUCUGGGCUACAAACGUGAUACAAUGGCUAUUACAAAGAGUGGCUUAAACGCGAGUUUUUGGCAAAUCUCAAAAAAAUAGUCUUAGUUCGGAUUGAAGUCUGCAACUCGACUUCAUGAAGUUGGAAUCGCUAGUAAUCGCGAAUCAGCAUGUCGCGGUGAAUACGUUCUCGGGGUUUGUACACACCGCCCGUCAAACCACGAAAGUGGACAAUACCCGAAAGCGACAGCCUAACUGCGUAAGC
RNAcentral lists this ribosomal RNA (1402 nucleotides) under Coconut lethal yellowing phytoplasma. Its description in RNAcentral is "bacterial SSU rRNA". It matches the Rfam family "Bacterial small subunit ribosomal RNA". Lineage: Bacteria; Bacillati; Mycoplasmatota; Mollicutes; Acholeplasmatales; Acholeplasmataceae. The record is from RNAcentral.